This 569-nucleotide ribosomal RNA is filed under the name Fulvia fulva. RNAcentral describes it as "eukaryotic LSU rRNA". It matches the Rfam family "Eukaryotic large subunit ribosomal RNA", at positions 73 to 669 of the family's 3401-position model. Lineage: Eukaryota; Fungi; Ascomycota; Dothideomycetes; Mycosphaerellales; Mycosphaerellaceae. The record is from RNAcentral.
UUUGCCCCWAGUACGGCGAGUGAAGCGGCAACAGCUCAAAUUUGAAAUCUGGCGCAAGCCCGAGUUGUAAUUUGUARAGGAUGCUUCUGGCCAGCGGCCGUUCUAAGUUCCUUGGAACAGGACGUCAUAGAGGGUGAGAAUCCCGUAUGUGACCGGCGCGCAGCCUUUACGUAGCUCCUUCGACGAGUCGAGUUGUUUGGGAAUGCAGCUCUAAAUGGGAGGUAAAUUUCUUCUAAAGCUAAAUACCGGCCAGAGACCGAUAGCGCACAAGUAGAGUGAUCGAAAGAUGAAAAGCACUUUGGAAAGAGAGUUAAAAAGCACGUGAAAUUGUUGAAAGGGAAGCGCUUGCAACCAGACUUCGUAGCGAUGUUCCGCCGGUCUUCUGACCGGUCUACUCAUCGUCGCGAGGCCAACAUCGUCUGGGGCCGCCGGAUAAGACCUAAGGAAUGUAGCUUCCCUCGGGAAGUGUUAUAGCCUUUGGUGAUGCGGCGCGUCUCGGGCGAGGUCCGCGCUUCGGCAAGGAUGUUGGCGUAAUGGUUGUCAGCGGCCCGUCUUGAAACACGGACCCA